ACUUGGAAAAAACAUACAUCAUAUUGCAAUAUAAUUUACUUUGAGAUUUCAAUUUGGAAAAUGGCAUGGAAAUAAUCCAGCUUGAACAUCGUCCUCCUCACCUCCUGGACUAGGGCGAGGGCCCCUUAUAUUUCUUCAUGGCAAUUGUGUCACAGUUCAAACGCUCGUACCCUGACUCCAUCUGGGAUUUGGAAUGCACUCAGGGAAGUGGCUGUGCAUGGAGACUAGAAAUGGAAGAGGCUUCCAAGGUCAUGCCUUUCAGGCUCCCUUCAAAUUCUACAGCUACUGUGAAGAGAGUUGCAUUCCCACAGAGAACAUGUCAGACUGGAGGAAAAUUGUGACAAAAGGUCUCCCCAAAGAUCGAGGAAAGGAGGUUUGCCUGAAAAGGAGCCAGAGUGGUUCCGCCCAGACUGACGUGCUUCUGGCAGCCGGUGUGUACUGCUUGGUGACUGCUCUUUCAUUUCAGGUGGUGAUUUACCAAAUGCCGCUUUUUUUCUGUAUGACACAGGCGUGGCCAAACAUAGUCACCACUCAGAAUGUUGGGGAAGUUUCUCGUCCCCAUCAAACAGAGGGAGCAACCCUUGGUGGUUCAACAAUGAAGCCUCCAUUAGCUGAGAAGUCUAACUGUGAUUUAUCAUUCCCUACCUAUAAAGAUUGUAAACAAAUCAGGAAGCUUUCUGAGUCUCUUAGUCCUCUACUUCCAGGUAGAAGUGGUAAGAAUGUCAACCUUCCCUCACAACAUUGUAAGAAGGAAUGAUUAUUUGAAUUGAUUAUAAAAAGAUGCUCUGCAUUAUUCAUCAUUAGGGAAUUGCAAAUUAAAACAACAAGGAGAUAACGGCUACAUACCUAUUAGGACGGCUAAUAUCCAAAACGCUGACAGUACCAAAUGGUAGAGCAACAGGAACCCUCCUUCAUUGCUGGUGAAAAUGUAAAAUGGUUCGACCACUGUGGAAAACAGUUUGGCAGUUUUUUACAAAUCUAAACACACUUUUAUCAUAUCAUUCUGCAAUCAUGCUCCUUGAUAUUCUCCCAAAUGAGUUGAAAACUUAGGUCCACCCAGAAACCUCUGCACAAAAGUUUAUAGCAGCUUUAUUCAUAAUUGCCAAAACUUAGAAGCCACCAAGGUGUCCGUCAAUAGGUGAAUGGAUAAAUAAACUGUAGUAUAUUCAUACAGUGGAAUAGUAUUGAGCACUUAAAAAAGAAAAAGAGCUAUUAAGCCACAAAAAAGAAACGGAGGAAGCAUAAAGGCAUAUUACUAAGUGCAAGAAGCCAAUCUGAAAAGGCUACAGACUGUAUGAUUCCAACUAUAAGACAUUCUGGGGAGGUAAAAUUAUGCAGACAGUAAAGGAUCAGUGUUUGCCAGGGUUUUGGGAAGAUGGAAGGAGGAAUUAAUAGAUGGAACACGGGAUUUUUAAGCCAAUGGAACUAUAUUGAAUGACACUGAAAGGGUAGCUACAUGGCAUGAUAGAUCUGUCAAAGCCCACAGACUGUACAACACAAACAGUGAACCAUAUGUAAACUGUGGGCUUUGGUCACAAAGAGCGAACUGUAAUGUAAACUGUGGACUUUGGUUGAACAUGAGGCAUCAAUAUUACUUCAUCAGUUGUAACAAAACAUACUGUGACAUGUUGGUGGUGGAAGGGGCUGGGUGUGUGUUGGGGGAUGGUUAUGUGGAAACUGUACUUUCUGCUCAAUUUUAUUGUGAGCCUAAAACUUGUAAAAAAUGAAACUUAUUAAUUAAAACUAAAUCGAUUUUAAAAUCUAGAUAAAAGUUAUUAUGAAGCAGAAAGUGAAUAUAAUCAUAUAAUUAUAUAAAUUAAUAAAAAUAAUUGUUGAAUGCAUGCUUUAGGAUUAAGUUCAGUUGUACACAACACAGAAAACAACAACAAGUGUGGUUUAGACAAGAUAGAAGAAUAUGUUUCUCAUGUAUGCAAAAUAAGCCUAGAAGUAGGCAGUCCGGAGUUGGAAUGGUGACUCCACAGAGACUUUGGGGACCAAGGCUUCUGGCUUUGCUGAGACUCCCAUCUCAGCAUCUUACUCCCAUCUCUUGGUCUGAUAUAAUUGCCAGAACUCCAGCCAUUACAUCUGCAUUCUAAACAGCAGAGAGCGAGGAAGGAGGAAAUACUGGCAUGCCUCCUCCCUUAAAUGCAGACUUACAGGAAGUUUCAUAUUAUAGUUCUGCUUUUAUCUUAUUGGUCAAGAACUUAGACAAAUUGGCACAUCUACCUGUGAAGGAGUCUCACAAUUUUUUACCUGUUGAAUGUACACAAAAUUUAAAAAAUCUGCAGAGAGGUCCAGCUAAAAAUCAGGGCUCUGUUUCUAAAUAAAAAGAAAGAAAGGGAUGUUGGAGUAGGCAGCUAGCCAUCUGAGACUUUGAGCAACUGUUGCUAAGUUAAAAAUACAGUGCUAGAGGCAGAGGAUGAAAAACACAUUAGAUCAAUAGGAGAAAUAAACAUGCAAGCACGCGGCUAUUAUAUAUGGUGGCAAUUUGUUAAUGGCACAAGGAUUUCAAAAGAGGAUGUGCGUAUGCCCAGUUGGGAUUGAUCAGAGAAGCCCUCCUAGAGGGAAGGAUAUUUUACAAAGACCUAGAAGGAUGGAGAGAAUUUGAAUGGUAGGAAGUGGUGGAAAAAAAGGCAAACUUGGCAUAGGAAAUGGCAUGAGAGAAAGCAAGUUGUUAUUUGAUAAAGAGGGAUAUGCCUGUUAUUGGUGCAUUUUAUAGUCUGCACAGAUACAGAAAGUGCCUAGGCAGGAAGAAGUUUAUGUCUGUAGUUUGGACAUCUACCCCAAUGACAUCAGUUUCUCUAUUCACAAUCUGUCCAUCAUUCCCAUGGGGUGGGAGGUGAGGAAGAAUUCCAUUCAACAACACACACUUAGAGUAUCUCAGGCAAAGAGACUUUUUUUCUUUUGUAUUUAUGAUAAAACACCCAAAUAUGUAUCCAAGUGGGAUUACCAGCCUGGGUUGGAUCCAAGAGACUUUGGUUACUAGAACUAUUUCUCAUCAUAAAUCCCCAAACAAGUUGAGUUUUUCACUUCCUCUCCUAAUCUGCCAUGGAGCACAGCCGAGUUGCUUGAAGUCAUCUACUUCUUGGCAGUGGCUACAAUUCCAAGAUGAUGGAACGAUUCUUUUCCAUAUACAUCAUUAUUAUUUCUAGUAUAAAUAUUUAUCAAGCACUCACUGUGCAAUAGAGAAGAGCUCCUGCUUGGUGGUCUUUCCAGCUGAACAAAACAAACAUGAGUAGAGGUUGAGGGAAGAGGUGGGAAGAGAACCUCAGCUGGUGGGAAACAAUAGGAAUUGCUUCCCCACCCCACCUCCUUUUAUUCAUGUUGGAUGUUGUUUGGACUUGACUGCCAUAUUUCAGAUACGUAAAAUGUGUUUUUAUUUGUUUAACAUAUGCUUUAUAGGGCUUACCAUGUGCUGUGCACUGUUCUAAGCUCUUUACAAAUAUUAACACAUUCAAUCCUCAUAGAAUCCUGUGAAAUAAGUCAUUUUAUUAUCCCUAUUUGCAGAUGAGGAAACUGAGGCACACAGUAAUUUGCCCAAGGUCGCUAACUGGGCACAGUGACUCUAGAGCAACACUGUUCAGUAGAACUUUCCCUGAUGUCAGAAGUGUUCCAUAUUUGCGCUGCCCAAUAGGGUAACCACUGGAUACGUGUAGCUGUUGAGCACUUGAAAUGUGGCUUGUAUGACUGAGGAAGUGAACUUCUGAAAGUUCAGAAGGCCACCCACCUCACCCUCCCAAAGUGCUGAGAUUACAGGCAUGAGCCACCACACCCAGGCCGCCUUUCUUUCCUUUCCUCUCCCUUCCUCCCUCCCUCCCUUUUUUCUUUCUUUCUUUCUUGCUUGCCUGCCUGCCUUCCUUCCUUCCUUCCUUCCUUUUCUUUCUCUCUCUUUCUUUCCAUCCCUCCCUCCUCUCUCUCUCUUUCUUUCUUUCCUUUUCUUUUCCUUUCUUUUCUUUUCUUUUUCCUUCCUUCCUUCCCUUUUCUCCUUCCUUCCUUCUCUUCUCUUCUCUUUUCUUUCUCUUUCUUUUUUUGAAGGAGCAAGAGCCAAGAAUAUAGAGAUUCUUUUGUAAAACAGUGAUCCUUCCUGGUGCAUUUGCUGUUUAAUUAUGAUAAACAACAUGAGAUAUAAGUUUAUAGAAAAAUAUGAGCAAGUCACUCAGGUGGUGCCAUUCUCUAUUCCCUGGCUAUUAAAUAGGACUACAAAAAAGCUCUAUCUCCAAUGCAAGUUUUCUCACAAUUGGUAGCAGAUGAGGAGGUCAAAGAGGAGAAAUCAACGGCUGGUUAGGUCAUGCACAUUUGGUAGCACAGACCAUUGUUAAAAGCAAAAAGCAACAUUAUAGUAUCUGGUGCCUGCUUGGGAAAAUGAAGAGCAGGACAAGGUCAUGUGUGUUAUCUUGCUGUCAUCAAGACUACUACUCCCUCUUUUCUCUCUUUCCCUCCCAUCUUAAUGCUUCUCUACUUUACUCAGCUUUCAUGGUUAAACUCAAAUUCCACUUCUUCCUUGAAAGCUGCCCUCCUGUCUCCAUGUGAAAGCAUCCUCCCUACAAUAUGACUGUAUGUUUCUUCUGGUACUCAAUGGGUUCUAUACUAUAUAAUAGCUAAGUAAGUACAAGUCCUAACUCUCCUACUUACUCUCAACUCUUAAAGGUCUGAUUUCUGUUUGUAUUAAUUUUCUGUAAAACUUCAUACAAACCUGGGCAACAUAGUGAAUGAGACCCUGUCUCUAUUAAAAAAAAAAAAAAUUAGCCAGGCGUGGUGGCACGCACCUGUGGUCCCAACUACUCAGGAGGCUGAGGCAAAAGGAUCGCUUGAGUCAAAGAGGUUAAGACAGCAGUGAGCCAUGUUCACACCACUGCACUUCACCCUCAGCGACUGAGUGAGAUGUGCUCACAUUCCAUAGAUUAUUUUAACUUUCAUCCCUGUUUCCCUAUUUCUAGCAUGCACUUCUAUGAUAGCAUUAACAGUAUUGUAUUGUAAAAUUUGAUGAUCGUAUCUCUCCCCAAGACUGUAAGCCCUUUUAGAGUAGCACCUACCUUAAAAUAGUUGCUCUAUAAAUGGCAAGCAACUAUUUUCUGAAUGAAUGGUCAUUCUCAGAAAUUUGUAGUAUAUGUAGUAUGUUUGUCUUUUGUCUAAAACAAAAUGGAUCCCUCCUCCAAUGAAACUCUUCUAUAUUAGUAUUAGAUUAAGCACUAGGUAAUAUCAAACUAACUUCAGCAUUUUAUAAUAGCCCUGCUGUAAGGAAAGACAAUGCAUAAUUGUCCUAGAGAAUGAGGCCAUUUUCAGCUAGCUGUGGUGGCUCACACCUGUAAUCCCAACACUUUGGGAGGCUGAGGCAGGCAGAUCACUUGGAUUGGGAAUUCAAGACCAGUCUGGUCAACAUGCCAAAAUUCUGUCUCUACUAAAAAUACAAAAAUUAGCCAGGCAUGGUGGUGUAUGCCUAUAAUUCCAGCUACUAGGGAGGGUGAGGCACGAGAAUCACUUGAACCCGGGGUGUGGAGGUUGCAGUUAGCAGAGAUCACACCACAGCACUCCAGCCUGGGUGACAGAGUGAGACUCUGUCUCAAAACAAACAAACAAGCAAACAAACAAACAAAAAGAGAGAGAAUGAGAACAUUUCUUGCUUAACCUUGUCCAAAGGACAUAGGUCAUCCAAAGAGGUUUGAAUUUUAGGGUACUGCACAGAACCCAGAAUAGAAAAGAAGUGUGAAAACUGGCAAGACAUUGCAAUUUUCUACAAGUAUGUAAAGCUCAAACUAAAAAAGAACAUUUUUGAGAAUUUUAAGAAGUAUAUGUGAAGGAUCCUCUGACAUUAGUUUUAGUGAAGGAAGGGGCAGAGAUAGACCAAGAUCACUUUAGCAACCUAUAAUUUGGUUUAAUUGAUCGAGCAGGGAGAAAAAAGAAAGGAGAAAAAGAAUAAGGAGAUCGUGAAAUUGAAAAAUGUAAAAUACUGUAACAGAAAUUACUGUAGCUUUGCUUUGAGUAGUACUGGAAAAGUUUGUUAUACUAGGAAAUAGUCAUAUAAAUGGAAAGAUGGUUUUUCAUGUCUUUUAUGACUUGUUGUAAAUGAUUAAUUAAAUACUCUGAGUGUUUCAUUAAAUAUAUGCAUUCCUUCCAAAUUAAAGUGUGCAGAGACUCGUUAUAAAUAAAUUCAUUGGGUGAAUGAAAGGAGCAUUUACUUCUAAAGGAAUAUUACUGGCAAAUUUCAUUCUUGACAUUGAUUAAAUAAACUAAAUUUAUUUUAAUGGCAAUAUGAGCAAAUUACAAGGCUAAUUAGUUUUCUACUUUAGUAUUUUUACAUUAUUUAAUGCAUUUAUAAGUGAUCCAACAAUUUUAAGAAUUUUACUACAUAAAAAGCAUUUUGUAAUAAAAUGUGAAAAUGAAAGAAUGAAUAAGACAUGGUUCUCGCUUCACUCAUUUUCUACUUUCACGCUUCAUGGAACAAUUUUAAGUGUCUACUAUGAGCAAACCCUUUUCCUGAAUGUUGCAGGCAAUAGAAAGGAAAAAUAAGACUUGUUUCUUCCCUCUAAAAGCUUGAAAUGUCAUGGCAAAAACAUAUGCAC
Molecule: long non-coding RNA, 6560 nt
Filed under: Homo sapiens (human)
Lineage: Eukaryota; Metazoa; Chordata; Mammalia; Primates; Hominidae
Description: non-protein coding LINC02454:17
Source: RNAcentral